GACGAACGCUGGCGGCGUGCCUAACACAUGCAAGUCGAGCGGAGUCAGUAAGAGGAAGUUUUCGGAUGGAAUCUUAUUGAUUUAGCGGCGGACGGGUGAGUAACGCGUGAGCGACCAACCUUGCACAGGGGGAUAACGGACCGAAAGGUUCACUAAUACCGCAUGAGAACACGGUGUUGCAUGCCACAGAGGUCAAAGGAACAAUCCGGUGCAAGACGGGCUCGCGUACGAUUAGGUAGGUGGAGGGGUAACGGCCCACCAAGCCUAUGAUCGGUAGCCGACCUGAGAGGGUGAUCGGCCACAUUGGAACUGAGAUACGGUCCAAACUCCUACGGGAGGCAGCAGUGGGGAAUAUUGGGCAAUGGGGGAAACCCUGACCCAGCAACGCCGCGUGAAGGAAGAAGGUUUUCGGAUUGUAAACUUCUGUCCUUGGUGAAGAGAAGAAGACGGUAGCCAAGGAGGAAGCCCCGGCUAACUACGUGCCAGCAGCCGCCGUAA
RNAcentral lists this ribosomal RNA (498 nucleotides) under uncultured bacterium. RNAcentral's name for it is "partial 16S ribosomal RNA". It matches the Rfam family "Bacterial small subunit ribosomal RNA", at positions 28 to 523 of the family's 1533-position model. The record is from RNAcentral.